This is a long non-coding RNA of Fukomys damarensis (Damara mole-rat), 747 nucleotides long. RefSeq lists it as uncharacterized. The transcript is spliced from 5 exons. NCBI's taxonomy places the organism in Eukaryota, Metazoa, Chordata, Mammalia, Rodentia, Bathyergidae. The record is from RefSeq and is a predicted model, not a curated record.
GGUUUCUCUCCCUACCCAACCUCUCGCUUUUCUCUCUGCUUCUUAGAUGCCAUGAGGGGGCCAGCUCUCCUCAGCCCAGACCUUUUCAUCAUGCUGUUCUUGCCUUGGAGCUGGCCCACUAUGGAUUGCAACCUCUACAAACUGAAUACUGAUGUCAGAGGUGCCUCUGUUGCUUGUUAGUUGUACGGUGCCAAGCUAGGAUCUUUUGCAACAUUUCAUGGACCAGAAAACAUGCUAAAGAUUGGCAAAGUUGCUCAGAGUCAUUGGACCAGAAAGAGAAGAGGCAGAACUCAAAUUCUGCUUUGGAAAUCUGAGUUCUUAAUCGUGAUGUCAUACACUUCAGUUGUAUAUGGCAAGAACUAAUAGAUGACACAAAUGAGAAAACAGAUGAACACAGCGAUGCCAAGGAGAGGAGGAAGAUACAACAGGGAAGCUGGAAGUGAAGCCAACACAGAAGACACCAGACAAGAGAUGGAGGGUGAAGUGUUCCCAUCGAAGUCAUUUCAGCGCCCAGAUCCAACAGUACCUGAUGUCAUCACUGGGCUUCCUGUCACGUCAGCCAGUACCAUUCCCUGUUGGGCUUAAGCCCAAUGGAGAUGGAUUCUCAGGAAUCUUAGUUGCAAGGUUCCUGAAGACAGAUAUCCUUUGCCUUUAUAGCAAAGAUAUCUGGCUUUUCUGUCCAUAGCACCAAGAUGUUACAUGGAAGCAGGGGCUGACAUGAAGAUUUCCCUAAGAUCACAUAAUUGA